GACGAACGCUGGCGGCGUGCUUAACACAUGCAAGUCGAACGGAAAGGCCCUGCUUUUGUGGGGUGCUCGAGUGGCGAACGGGUGAGUAACACGUGAGUAACCUGCCCUUGACUUUGGGAUAACUUCAGGAAACUGGGGCUAAUACCGGAUAGGAGCUCCUGCUGCAUGGUGGGGGUUGGAAAGUUUCGGCGGUUGGGGAUGGACUCGCGGCUUAUCAGCUUGUUGGUGGGGGAGUGGCUUACCAAGGCUUUGACGGGUAGCCGGCCUGGGAGGGUGACCGGCCACAUUGGGACUGCGAUACGGCCCAGACUCCUACGGGAGGCAGCAGUGGGGAAUAUUGCACAAUGGGCGGAAGCCUGAUGCAGCAACGCCGCGGGCGGGAUGACGGCCUUCGGGUUGUAAACCGCUUUCGCCUGUGACGAAGCGUGAGUGACGGUAAUGGGUAAAGAAGCACCGGCUAACUACGUG
This 468-nucleotide ribosomal RNA is filed under the name uncultured bacterium. Its description in RNAcentral is "partial 16S ribosomal RNA". It matches the Rfam family "Bacterial small subunit ribosomal RNA", at positions 28 to 507 of the family's 1533-position model. The record is from RNAcentral.